CAUGCAAGUCAACUUGAACUUCGGUUUGGGUGGCGGACGGGUGAGUAACGCGUAAAGAACUUGCCUCACAGAUAGGGACAACAUUUGGAAACGAAUGCUAAUACCUGAUAUUAUGAUUUUAGGGCAUCCUAGGAUUAUGAAAGCUAUAUGCGCUGUGAGAGAGCUUUGCGUCCCAUUAGCUAGUUGGAGAGGUAACGGCUCACCAAGGCGAUGAUGGGUAGCCGGCCUGAGAGGGUGAUCGGCCACAAGGGGACUGAGACACGGCCCUUACUCCUACGGGAGGCAGCAGUGGGGAAUAUUGGACAAUGGACCAAGAGUCUGAUCCAGCAAUUCUGUGUGCACGAUGAAGUUUUUCGGAAUGUAAAGUGCUUUCAGUUGGGAAGAAAAAAAUGACGGUACCAACAGAAGAAGUGACGGCUAAAUACGUGCCAGCAGCCGCGGUAAUACGUAUGUCACAAGCGUUAUCCGGAUUUAUUGGGCGUAAAGCGCGUCUAGGUGGUUAUGUAAGUCUGAUGU
RNAcentral lists this ribosomal RNA (516 nucleotides) under uncultured Fusobacterium sp. RNAcentral describes it as "bacterial SSU rRNA". It matches the Rfam family "Bacterial small subunit ribosomal RNA", at positions 54 to 595 of the family's 1533-position model. The record is from RNAcentral. Lineage: Bacteria; Fusobacteriati; Fusobacteriota; Fusobacteriia; Fusobacteriales; Fusobacteriaceae.